GUGUCAGCCGCCGCGGUAAUACGAAGGGAGCGAGCGUUGUUCGGAAUCACUGGGCUUAAAGCGUGCGUAGGCGGAUUAGUAAGUAAGAAGUGAAAUCCCAGGGCUUAACCCUGGAACUGCUUUUUAGACUGCUUGUCUGGAAUUCGGUAGAGGUUGGUGGAACUCCUAGUGUAGAGGUGAAAUUCGCAGAUAUUAGGAAGAACACCGGUGGCGAAGGCGACCAACUGGACCGAUAUUGACGCUGAGGCACGAAAGCGUGGGUAGCAAACAGGAUUAGAUACCCUGGUAGUCCACGCCGUAAACUAUGAACGCUAGCCGUUGGCAGGCUUGCCUGUCAGUGGCGCAGCUAACGCAUUAAGCGUUCCGCCUGGGGAGUACGGCCGCAAGGUUGAAACUCAAAGGAAUUGACGG
Molecule: ribosomal RNA, 411 nt
Filed under: uncultured bacterium
Lineage: Bacteria
Description: bacterial SSU rRNA
Rfam family: Bacterial small subunit ribosomal RNA
Source: RNAcentral